RNAcentral lists this small RNA (126 nucleotides) under Marmota monax (woodchuck). The record is from RNAcentral. Lineage: Eukaryota; Metazoa; Chordata; Mammalia; Rodentia; Sciuridae.
GCUGGGGCACAGUGGUGCAUGCCUGUAAUCCCAGCAGCUCGGGAGGCUGAGGCAGGAGAAUUGCAAGUUCAAAGCCAGCCUCAGCAAUGGUGAGGUGCUGAGCAACUCAGUGAGACCCUGCUUCUA